Molecule: long non-coding RNA, 2142 nt
Organism: Apus apus (common swift)
Lineage: Eukaryota; Metazoa; Chordata; Aves; Apodiformes; Apodidae
Exons: 2
Source: RefSeq, a predicted model, not a curated record
CUGGGCGGACGGCCGCGCCAGCGCGGGGCUGCUGCAGCCUCCGUCUCUCGUCGUGUAACGCUGGGGAUUCGCCAGAGACCGCAGCGUAUACUCGGGGCGGCAGCUCACUGUCAAGUUUAGCGGCUGCGACCUCCAGCCUGGGGUGUCACCUCAGAGGUGACGGAGCCAGACCGGGCUUUCCCUCGAAGGGCCCGCACGCGUCUCCAGAGGAGGUCGGGAGGCCCCUGGGGCGCCGUACGGACGCAGGCCGCUGCCGCGACCCGGCCCUACCUGCUCUAAAAUAACCGGGAUCCAGAGCGCCCUUUUCUGAAGUCCUUGGGGCGCGAGUGUCGCUGGCCGGCAAUUAAUUCCAGGAGAGGGGACACGGCCUUGGACCAUGCACAAAAAUACCAGGGGGCAAAUCGUGCUGAUGGAUGUGUGGUGGGCAGGCAUCAAGGGAGCAGAAGCUCACAGGCCAAUGGCAUAGGACAGCUUGGCACAUCACAAGAAGCGAUCCAGGCCUUAAAGACAAAAAGCUGAAUUCAAUAAUAGUGGUAUGGCAGAAGAUCCACUAGGGUCUACAGAGGUAGAAUCUUUUUUUUUUUUUUUUUUCCCUAGAAAAAAAAUGGUAUUAUUUGGGAGAUGGAGAGGCUAGUUUUAGCUUGCAGAGUACUCUCUUCAGCUCUUCAAUGCUUUAAAAGUCCUCAGCAGUAAGGAUAGGACAAUCUAUUAGACAAUUACCAGAUGCAAUACCAAGUAAUAAUUUAGGAGUAUUUACUAAACAUUCAUGCUAAUUUUAUGCUUUAUGGAAUUUCAUGUAUAAUUAAAUAUUGAUUUAUCUAAAGUUAAUAAUUAGUGAUACAUCGUGACAGUGACUAAUGGCAUUAAUUAAAGGCGAAAUAGAAAUGCUUCCCAGUAUUCUCCUACAGUUCACCAGAACAAAGAAUAAUGUGAAAGAAAAUAACAUUUUCUCUCUUCUGAGCCAGGGUACAAACAGCAGUGCUUCCAUCUCCAGCAAUUACUGCAUAAAGCAUAGGAGCACUUCAAAACUUUUGUCAAAAUUGUGUGAAAAAGGCACAUGUAGAUUUGUCAACAGGCUACUUUGAUUACUGCUAAAUAUUCAUUUUGUUUGUAAGAAUGCAUACUACAGUUCCUUUAGUCACAGUUACACAAAUUCUUGCCAAAUCUCUUCUUUACAGUUAGUUCUUCACUGCAGAUGGUUUAAGGAUUUACUCGGUGUGGCUUUGCAGAUAUGAUGGCAGCAAUACUAUUAAAUGCAUGUAGGAUCAGUUCUUUUCUUCAAAUAUAAGUUAAUCAUUACAAAAAAGCUAGUAAUACUUUACUAGUCUGCUGCAGUUACCAGGAGAAAAGAAACAAAUUGCUGCUUCUUGUACCUUUUUUAAUUGAAGUAAUUUUCACUGAUUUAUAGGAGAAAAAGAGAAUAAAAACAAAACAAGAAAAAGGAAAAUCCCAUGAAAUGCAAGAACCUACAAAUCAGUUUUCAGUUUUGUGCAGUUAUAAAGUUACACUACGUGUGCUGUGACUGCAUUACUGAAUGUAAAUAUGAUUCUGAAAUACUACUCUUGCAUGACAGCUGGGAGGGUUUUCUUUUCAACAAAACUGUAUUUUGCACAGAUCUUAAGGACUUAGUGAAUUCUUUGAGGGAAGCACUCUGUAAGGGAGAUAAGAAACUAUUAAAAAACAUCUCAUUAGUGGGGUACUGUUUCUGUGAUUUGCCAGUAAUGUGGAGUAACCAUCUUAUUUUCUUACAAAAAUAGAGAGGUUUUUGAAGGUGAAUUGAGAAAUUUUGAAGGUGAAUGUAUUGCCCUUUUUUAAGGUUGCACUUUCUCCCAACAGCCCUUUCAAGCAGAAAGGAAGCAAGUAUUUCCAAGGUGAAAGCAUGCAGUUUCUCUGCUCUUAAGAAAAUAAAAUAGUGAUACAUUCCAGUUUUUGUAGGAAAGCUUGCCUAAAAUCCUUUUGGAAAGAAUCCAAAGUUCACAAUCAGAUACUCCUUUGGCUAGAAGAAAAAAAUAAUUCUAUUGGCUAUUUUGCUUUUUUCAGCAGCAACUGAGUCAGACUGAAAUAUUGCUAUCGAGUCUGCAGAACUGUAUUUUCUUAUACAUGCCAUCAAAAUAUAUUAAAAAGUCAAAAUUAUUUGGAAAA